GACGAACGCUGGCGGCGUGCCUAAUACAUGCAAGUCAAGCGGAUUGAUGGGAGCUUGCUCCCUGAUAUCAGCGGCGGACGGGUGAGUAACACGUGGGCAACCUGCCUAUAAGACUGGGAUAACUUCGGGAAACCGGAGCUAAUACCGGAUAAUCCCUUUCCUCUCAUGAGGAAAGGCUGAAAGAUGGUUUACGCUAUCACUUAUAGAUGGGCCCGCGGCGCAUUAGCUAGUUGGUGAGGUAACGGCUCACCAAGGCAACGAUGCGUAGCCGACCUGAGAGGGUGAUCGGCCACACUGGGACUGAGACACGGCCCAGACUCCUACGGGAGGCAGCAGUAGGGAAUCUUCCGCAACGGGCGAAAGUCUGACGGAGCAACACCGCGUGAGUGAUGAAGGUUUUCGGAUCGUAAAACUCUGUUGUUAGGGAAGAACAAGUAUGAGAGUCACUGCUCGUACCUUGACGGUACCUAACCAGAAAGCCACGGCUAACUACGUGCCAGCCGCCGCCGUAA
RNAcentral lists this ribosomal RNA (512 nucleotides) under uncultured bacterium. Its description in RNAcentral is "partial 16S ribosomal RNA". It matches the Rfam family "Bacterial small subunit ribosomal RNA", at positions 28 to 523 of the family's 1533-position model. The record is from RNAcentral.